UGGGGAAUAUUGGACAAUGGGCGAAAGCCUGAUCCAGCAAUGCCGCGUGAGUGAUGAAGGCCUUCGGGUUGUAAAGCUCUGUCGGGAGGGACGAAAAAGCCGGUUAACACCCGGUAUUGACGGUACCUCCAAAGGAAGCACCGGCUAACUCUGUGCCAGCAGCCGCGGUAAUACAGAGGGUGCAAGCGUUGUUCGGAAUUACUGGGCGUAAAGCGCGUGUAGGUGGCUGUGUAAGUCGGGUGUGAAAUCCCUUGGCUCAACCAAGGAAGUGCACUCGAUACUGCAUAGCUUGAGUACCGGAGGGGAUGGCGGAAUUCCCGGUGUAGAGGUGAAAUUCGUAGAUAUCGGGAGGAACACCUGUGGCGAAGGCGGCCAUCUGGACGGUCACUGACACUGAGACGCGAAAGCGUGGGUAGCAAACAGG
This 424-nucleotide ribosomal RNA is filed under the name uncultured Myxococcales bacterium. RNAcentral describes it as "bacterial SSU rRNA". It matches the Rfam family "Bacterial small subunit ribosomal RNA", at positions 355 to 776 of the family's 1533-position model. The record is from RNAcentral. Lineage: Bacteria; Pseudomonadati; Myxococcota; Myxococcia; Myxococcales.